AUCACGCAUUCCGUGCCCAAUUUCUGUCCCCGCACGGCGUCGGCCGACCGCCGAGCGUCGGAGGAUGGCGGCGGCGGCGGGGGACUCGUCGGAGCCGGACUCCGGAGUCGAAGCAUCGGCGCAGGAAGCUCCAGGUUGGUUGCAUAAGAGCACAGCUCGCUGAUAAAAGACCAGUACUGCAAAAGUUGCAAAUCAGAGUAUUACUGAACUUUGCUGACCGUACUACAAUAGAUCUGCUGGCUUUUGCCCCUCAAGAGGACUAGCUUGAUGGGAGACUAACCAAGUCCAAGAUUCCUUUCUCGCGGAUGGAUGGUCCUAGUUGAGUGGACCUUUUGGUGGGAAGCGGACAAACUAAAGCAGGAUAACUCAAGACAAGGAGAUCUUAGAGGAAAGUUUAACAUUAGAUCCAACCAUCAUGGAAACUCUACUUUGAGUCUGUCUAUGUCCUCUGCUUACUGCAUUUCUCCUGCGGUCUAUUCAAAUGAUUAUUCAAAUGUUUUUUAAUUCUCUGUUUUACACUUGUGCCCUUGUCAAAAUACUAAGUAGCAAGUUUGUUCUAAUAAUGUGUUUGGAAGUGGCCCUAAUUUUCUUCGAAAACAACAUUC
This is a long non-coding RNA of Oryza brachyantha (malo sina), 605 nucleotides long. RefSeq lists it as uncharacterized. The record is from RefSeq and is a predicted model, not a curated record. The transcript has 5 exons. Lineage: Eukaryota; Viridiplantae; Streptophyta; Magnoliopsida; Poales; Poaceae.